RNAcentral lists this non-coding RNA (26 nucleotides) under Mus musculus (house mouse). Lineage: Eukaryota; Metazoa; Chordata; Mammalia; Rodentia; Muridae. The record is from RNAcentral.
CACUUUGGCAGAUGCUAGCUCUCCUC